GAUGAACGCUGGCGGCGUGCCUAAUACAUGCAAGUAGAACGCUGAAGCUUGGUGCUUGCACCGAGCGGAUGAGUUGCGAACGGGUGAGUAACGCGUAGGUAACCUGCCUGGUAGCGGGGGAUAACUAUUGGAAACGAUAGCUAAUACCGCAUAACAGUAGAUAUUGCAUGAUAUCUGCUUGAAAGGUGCAAAUGCAUCACUACCAGAUGGACCUGCGUUGUAUUAGCUAGUUGGUGAGGUAACGGCUCACCAAGGCGACGAUACAUAGCCGACCUGAGAGGGUGAUCGGCCACACUGGGACUGAGACACGGCCCAGACUCCUACGGGAGGCAGCAGUAGGGAAUCUUCGGCAAUGGGGGGAACCCUGACCGAGCAACGCCGCGUGAGUGAAGAAGGUUUUCGGAUCGUAAAGCUCUGUUGUAAGAGAAGAACGAGUGUGAGAGUGGAAAGUUCACACUGUGACGGUAUCUACCAG
RNAcentral lists this ribosomal RNA (475 nucleotides) under Streptococcus sp. oral taxon 061. RNAcentral's name for it is "bacterial SSU rRNA". It matches the Rfam family "Bacterial small subunit ribosomal RNA", at positions 28 to 486 of the family's 1533-position model. The record is from RNAcentral. Lineage: Bacteria; Bacillati; Bacillota; Bacilli; Lactobacillales; Streptococcaceae.